Long non-coding RNA from Octopus sinensis (East Asian common octopus), 160 nucleotides. RefSeq lists it as uncharacterized. The record is from RefSeq and is a predicted model, not a curated record. NCBI's taxonomy places the organism in Eukaryota, Metazoa, Mollusca, Cephalopoda, Octopoda, Octopodidae. The transcript is spliced from 4 exons.
GAACCUGAUGUCAAAGUGAUUUUUGAUUCUUUCGAUGACUCUCGGACUAUCGAAGAUUUAUCAACACGCAAACAAACUUUUAAACCUAGUGUGAUAAAAAGGAACGAACCUGAUGUCAAAGUGAUUUUUGAUUCUUUCGAUGACUCUCGGACUAUCGAAG